AAGAAAGCUUGCUUUCUUUGCUGGCGACCGGCGCACGGGUGAGUAACACGUAUCCAACCUACCCUUUACUCGGGGAUAGCCUUUCGAAAGAAAGAUUAAUACCCGAUAGCAUAAUGAUUCCGCAUGGUUUCAUUAUUAAAGGAUUCCGGUAAAGGAUGGGGAUGCGUUCCAUUAGGUUGUUGGUGGGGUAACGGCCCACCAAGCUUUCGAUGGAUAGGGGUUCUGAGAGGAAGGUCCCCCACAUUGGAACUGAGACACGGUCCAAACUCCUACGGGAGGCAGCAUG
RNAcentral lists this ribosomal RNA (286 nucleotides) under uncultured bacterium. Its description in RNAcentral is "partial 16S ribosomal RNA". It matches the Rfam family "Bacterial small subunit ribosomal RNA", at positions 72 to 353 of the family's 1533-position model. The record is from RNAcentral.